GCCCGGUUGGUGUAGUGGUAGCACGCGAGUCUCUCAAGCUCGCAGCACGGGUUCAAUCCCCGUACCGGGUAC
RNAcentral lists this transfer RNA (72 nucleotides) under Streptomyces phage Galactica. RNAcentral describes it as "tRNA-Glu". It matches the Rfam family "tRNA". Rfam says of the family: Transfer RNA (tRNA) molecules are approximately 80 nucleotides in length. Their secondary structure includes four short double-helical elements and three loops (D, anti-codon, and T loops). Lineage: Duplodnaviria; Heunggongvirae; Uroviricota; Caudoviricetes. The record is from RNAcentral.